UACGGAGGAUCCAAGCGUUAUCCGGAAUCAUUGGGUUUAAAGGGUCCGUAGGUGGACAAUUAAGUCAGAGGUGAAAUCCUGCAGCUCAACUGUAGAAUUGCCUUUGAAACUGGUUGUCUUGAGUCAUUGUGAAGUGGUUAGAAUAUGUAGUGUAGCGGUGAAAUGCAUAGAUAUUACAUAGAAUACCGAUUGCGAAGGCAGAUCACUAACAAUGUACUGACACUGAUGGACGAAAGCGUGGGGAGCGAACAGG
RNAcentral lists this ribosomal RNA (253 nucleotides) under uncultured bacterium. Its description in RNAcentral is "partial 16S ribosomal RNA". It matches the Rfam family "Bacterial small subunit ribosomal RNA", at positions 524 to 776 of the family's 1533-position model. The record is from RNAcentral.